UAUAGAACGGCCAUUCCCAAACUGUGGUCCGCGGACCACUAGUGGUCCGUGAGGGUACUGCAGGUGGUCCGUGAAAAGGCAAAAUAAGAAUAUGUAUAUUUUAAUAUACAAACUCGUUCAUAUUUUGGGCGAACGUGUACUGCUGCCUAAUAAACGUUACUGUGAACUCAUUCAUUCUGGUGCCUGUGAACGGCACGCUCUCUCAUUUUAACGUCGUUCAAUAGGGUGCCAGAUUUGUAUAUUCUUCCAGGCGAAAACCUGACUAAAACACACUGUAAACAGGCCUUAAUGUGUAGCGGAAAAAACACCCAAUCUGGCAACACCGCCACCACUCGGUGUUCACCAGUCACGCUGCAUGCAUCAUCACAACAACACAGACGCUUCUGAAAUUCCUGCCGUGCAACUCAAAUAGUUUAACAUUAAAUAACAUCAUAUUUGUCCUAAAUCGUUAACGAUUACCAUAGGCUGCUAACGCAUAUUCCGGAUCUUGAAAUAGACUUUGACUAAGCUCACGCUAUUUAACGUGCACGUGUGGUGUGCAAUACCUGCGAGUUGUCAAACACGCAAUGCCUCGCAGCGCUUACCCGGGGUGCGACCCCCACCCGACUAGCCUUCUUAAGGUAUGUGUAAGCAAAUACAAAAAUUUAAAGACUAUGCUAAUGUAAACCCUGGUUGGAUAAGGAUUUAAAGUUGGACAUGAAGAUGAAAUCUGACGCAUUUAGCUUCAGUGUUAAAACUGAUCAAAUAAUUGCUGUCUGUGGUGGUUCUAUAUGGGCUAUAAUGGCAAUCAUUUAAAAAAAAUAAUAUGGGAAAAAAUAACUAUAAAUUUGUUCAUUUUUGGAACUGUGACCUAGUUUAACAUUUUCAAAUAUGAACUAUGAACUGAACUAGUUCAUUUUAAAAUUUGUGAACUGUGAACUAAACUAGUUCAUGUAGAAAGUGAACUUUCCCAACACUAAGAAUAUGUAUAUAAAUAAUUAUGAUAUAAGGUUAAGAAACCUGUUGUACUGAUGUGAUGACCAGUUAAAGUUUUAGUGCUAGUGCAAGACUAUUUAGAUGUGCAGAUUAAUUCAGGACUUUGUGUGGACACAUUUUAUUAUAAUAAAAUAUUAUUAGUAAUAUAAGGUGGUCCGCGAAAAUUCUUGAUUACAAAUAGUGGUCCACACACACAAAAAGUUUGAAAACCCCUGAUAUAGAAGACUAGAUGCCCUAUUGGCCGCUGGGGACUGAGAAAUACGGCGGCCAUCUUAAACCGGUCGUUCUCCUAGUUUCGUUGCAUGGCAGCAGAUAAGAUGUCAGAGCACUGUGGAGCAUUUUCCUGUUCUAAUCGGCGGACGAUCGCAAAUAGAGCCCGGAGGAUUAUUUUCACAAGUACUUUUUAACAUCGCGGUACUAUUGGUUGUAUUUUGUGAAUAGAAUAUUACCAGAAAAUUGAGAAAGAGCCAGCUUAUUGAUUUUACUGUACUGAAAUCGUAGCCAGCUAACGUUCGCUAUGUUUACUGCACCAGCCGCUGUUCACCCUGCAAGGAGAGUGGGGUGCUGUGAGCUGCGUGAUCCGCCGAGCUUUAAAAAGCUGAGAUGUCAACAGGAACAGAGGAUGUUUUCCUUCGUAGGGAGGACAUUGAGGAGACUCGGUUUGGAAUCGACAAUUAUCAGUCUGACUCGUUGUCACUGGUUGUGUCUGUGUUUUUGGCUCCACCAUGUUGCCAAACUCACCUCUCUUGAACUACAGAAAGGGAGCACGGGAAAGAAGCUCUGGACAGGGGUGUGUGUGUGUGUGUGUGUGUGUGUGUGUGUGUGUGUGUGUGUGUGUGCGUGCGUGCGUGCGCGCGCGUGUGAGUGUGUGGGGGGGUUUACAAAUCAUUUUAAAUUGUUUCUUCACCAUAUUAAAAAGUCUUAUUUUAUUGCAACUAUCUGUUUCUGCAUCUUUGUCAUAUUUAUAGUGUGUGAUUUAUAAAAUAUCUUAUGUCCUACACCA
Long non-coding RNA from Paramisgurnus dabryanus, 1978 nucleotides. RefSeq lists it as uncharacterized. NCBI's taxonomy places the organism in Eukaryota, Metazoa, Chordata, Actinopteri, Cypriniformes, Cobitidae. The record is from RefSeq and is a predicted model, not a curated record.